Molecule: small nuclear RNA, 107 nt
Organism: Ochotona princeps (American pika)
Lineage: Eukaryota; Metazoa; Chordata; Mammalia; Lagomorpha; Ochotonidae
Source: Ensembl
GUGCUCUCUUCAGCAGCUUGUAUUCUGUAAUCGGAAAAAUGUGAGAGAAGAUUAACAUGACCCCUGCACAGGAUGACAUGCCAAUCCAUGAAGCAUUCCAUAUUUAA